RNAcentral lists this unclassified non-coding RNA (241 nucleotides) under Glomus sp. RNAcentral's name for it is "partial internal transcribed spacer 2". The stretch from base 1 to 65 matches the Rfam family "5.8S ribosomal RNA", at positions 84 to 154 of the family's 154-position model. The record is from RNAcentral. Lineage: Eukaryota; Fungi; Glomeromycota; Glomeromycetes; Glomerales; Glomeraceae.
GUGAAUCAUCAAAUUUUUGAACGCAAAUUGCACUCUCCUCUGAUAGUAUGCCUGUUUGAGUUUCAGCCUAUAAAAAUCGACAUCGUUGCUGGUUCGCGGUAUCGUCCUUCGGAAAUUGGGUCAUCUUAUAUCCUGGUUAUUUAGGCGAGGUAAAAUUUUCUGUUGUGUCCAUGAACGUUUCUAAGAUCUAUUCCUUUACACGUUUAAGGUAUCGAUUUUUACUAUACGUGACCAUCAUAUC